This 3115-nucleotide long non-coding RNA is filed under the name Bemisia tabaci. RNAcentral's name for it is "lncRNA ENSSSA3NGG000111". The record is from RNAcentral. Lineage: Eukaryota; Metazoa; Arthropoda; Insecta; Hemiptera; Aleyrodidae.
AUGAGCCCUGUAACAUUAGUCAAGUUGUGAUGAAAGAACUGUAUUCCUCUUGCUUCUGUAAAUUUGUUUUUUUAAAAAAAAUUUUCAACCUGCUCUGAAAUUUUGAUUCCAACCCGUACCUGCUCUACCGCACAAGCAGUAUUUUUAGGUUUAGCUUAUUACCAAAGUAUUUGAUACCACCUUGGCUCAUUGUUUUCAAAAAUGUAACUCAAAUGUUGAGAACCUCUUUAUUAGAUUUAUCAUAGGUGUCUGAAUCAAAAAUUAAAUAGACCUUUUCAUUUCUAAAAAGUUUAGGAUUGAGGGUGCUGAAUGGGUAAGGAAUAUACUUUUUUGGACUGUAAGCGAGCUGUUCAGAUGGGAUCCCCAAAACAUUUUAAAUAUCCAGUAGUCAAUUGUUAGUGAACCAACCACAAUUAGAGGACACGAUUCUGAAUUAAAAAUGAAUCUUUUUUUAUCCAAAUCAAGGAAAUCAUUUGAAAUUUCGGUUCUUGAGUAGGUAUUUUAAUGAAUAUUCAAUAGAAGACUGACAGUACUAAGAAUACAUUUUAGAAUUACUAUUUUAAUGCUCAUUUUCCUUAGUUCGUAUGAUGUAACAUGCAUGAAAAACCCUGGCUUCUAUCAGGAAGUCCAUUAUUAGAUAUCAACUUGUUUCUCUUCUUUUUUUUCAUUCAGGAAUUUGUGAUUGUGGGGAACUUUAUGAUAAUGUCCCGUCAUUGCACUGAGCUGUGGCAUUGCUUUUUCUUUGUGAAUCAAAAAUUAACUCUUUUUUUACUCAAUAUAAAUAAAAAUCAAGUUCCACUACAUACGCGUAAGUUGAUCAAUUUUAUCUCCUAAUCAAAUUGUUAUACCUCCUUGUUAUUUUGAGCUACUUUCAUCCAAAAAGGAGUACUGAAAGCUGAAGAACAACUUUAAAAUGUGUCAAUAUUUAUUCAAACUGUACUAAAAGCUGACCAAAGAAUACAAAUGAUGCAAGUUUGCAUUUCAACAUCUAAAAAAGUCAAAAAGAGUUUCUACCUUGUGCAUUCAAAAAAUUUAAUCUUAAACAUUUCUUAUUACUCAAUUUAAAUUGGCAAGACUCGCUGGUAAAAAAUCACAAAUGGUGCUAUGAAUUUACUGUCUUAACUCUUCUGAAAAUCUAUUUUAAGCAAGUUUUAAUUGCAGAUGAUCUCCAAGACAAAUUGAUUUUAUUUGAAAGAUUGGUUCGAAAAAUUGAGGUAUUGAUGAUUUCAACUGAAAGUAGUCUUAAAGUAUACUUACUCUGUGAAACUAUCAAUAUCAAAACUCAAUUUUUAAGCAUAAGUGAAUGAGUUUGAACUUCAACUCCGCUGUACGGCUCCAUGUAAUUUUGAAACUUUAAACAUGUAAGUAGUUAUUUUGAAAUAGCAAAACUACAAGUAUCUCCCUUGUCCUCUAAGCCCCUCAAAUAAGAGUUUCUUGUCAAGAAUCUUAUGGAUAUCACUAAUUCAGUUUCAUGCAUGGGAGCGUUCAUGAAUGGAUUGCAUUUUGCAAAAAGGAACCAUGGAGCAUUGUCAUGUUGCGAAGAUAGUGCAACUCCACCCAUAUCAAUACAACUACUGUAAUCAUGCAAAUACAGGGUGUUCCAAAAGUCCAGCCCCCCCCCCCCCUCGCCUUUUAACUUUUGAAAGGUACGAGUAGAAAAAUGAAACUUUGGGAAUGUUCCUAUCUCAAAGGGGACCAUCUUUUGAAGGCUCAAAAUUUGGUCCCUCCCUCAGGGGGGCGGGGCCCCGGCCCCCCAACUUUUUUUUUCAAAUGGCAACCCCUAUCUUGUGAUACCUCAUUCGAAAGAGCAUAGGAACUAAAAAUUUUGGCGCAAACCGCAGAUCAAUAACUUAAUUUUUGACCGAGUUAUGAUUAGUCAAAGGUCAAAUUUGACCUAUUUUCAAAAAAUCAUAACUCCGGUUCAAAUUAUCGUAAAGAGAAAAUAAAGCGGGAAAAUUUACCGAAUUGUGUUCGCUUUUAAGUAAAAAUUGCAGAAAUUACUUCGAACUAAUUUUAAGGGGGGGCGGACCCCCAAAUACGUCAAUUCAAAGGUCAUUCAAUUUUCCCGCGAAAUAAGUCAAUUUUUAAACGGUCAAAUUUAAUCACCUUAAAUUUCGUUUUUUUGAACUUUACCCGAAAUUUGGGGACUUGCCAACGUAAUGUUGAACUGCUUUUCACCUUACUGAGAUAAUGUGGAGGCAAAUCUAGGGGAAAUUGGCUUAUUUCGCGGGAAAAUUGAAUGACCCUUGAAUUGACGUAUUUUGGGGUCCGAACCCCCCUUAAAAUGUAAGACUUGUCCUUCGACGUAGGUCCCUAUCCUUUAAGGCGUAAACACAAAAUGGCGUAACGCUCUCCCCCCUUCCCUUCCCCCAUGGAGCGUUACGUAAUUUAUGAGCGCUCUCUAUGCUGUCGUGUCUAAGAUGAACCCUCAGGCCUUGCCAAAUUUCCUUUGAUAAAACUCAAAUCCAUUGGGAAAAACUCUGAAUAAUUGAUAUUGGUUGACUCGCAAGUGUGCAACUAACGAAUGGGAAUUUUUUAGCACUCCUAAGCACCAACUAGUUUCUCAGGAGAGAAAACAUUUCUCUCGAAAACAACUCCUUAAUAGAGAAAACAUUUCUCUCCUCUGCAUUGAGUAGUUGUUUUUGAGAGAAAUGUUUUCCUCUCCGGAGAGAACAUUCCUCUCCGGAGACGGUAGUAUCUUUCCCGGAGAUGAAAGUUUCUUCUCGAAGACGAAAGUUUCCUUUACGGAGAAGAAACCCCUGUCUCACAGAACGAUAUAUUUUUAUUGGGAACCAUAAUACUAUUCCCGGGGAAUGCUCCUCUUGUACCUGUUCUUUAAAUCUAAAUCAUUUUCAUAAAGUAGAGCUUUCUUUUACACAGUCGCACGCAGUCUGUGGUUUUAACCCAUUUGUACAUUAAUCUUUUAAGUCAAAUUUGUCCCAUUUUGAGCGUUUGGUUGCGCGCACACCACGUUGCAGCAUAGUAAAAGUACUACCUAAAUAUAAAAGAAAAAAAUAAAGUGCUUUGGAAAUCAUUAAAUUUAACACCAAACCACCGAACCACUUUCAAAACACAUAUUAUAUUUUCCUUUAAUACAUAUUUUUUUCAUCUUUUU